Molecule: non-coding RNA, 83 nt
Organism: Cordylochernes scorpioides
Lineage: Eukaryota; Metazoa; Arthropoda; Arachnida; Pseudoscorpiones; Chernetidae
Source: the annotation of a GenBank genome assembly
UGUCCAGGGAUGGGAAACGAACCCACAGUGUUCUGCUUACUGGGCAGAUGCCAUGUCCACUAGGCUAUAAUCAUAAGCCGCAC